CAAGAGGAGCUGUUAUGGCCCUGGGAGGUGUAUCACAGUAAUAUAGAAUACUAUACGGAUGAGAGAGGGAGGUGUAUCACAGUAAUAUAGAAUACUAUACGGAUGAGAGAGGGAGGUGUAUCACAGUAAUAUAGAAUACUAUACGGAUGAGAGAGGGAGGUGUAUAACAGUAAUAUAGAAUACUAUACGGAUGAGAGAGGGAGGUGUAUCACAGUAAUAUAGAAUACUAUACGGAUGAGAGAGGGAGCUGUAUCACAGUACUGCUGUGAGCGUUGUAGAGACGUGUGACUAACAGGCCUGUCCACAACCUGACACACUGGGUGGCUACACUGAGAUUUGCCUCAGGACAAAGACAGCUAAUAAGUCCUGACAGCCUACUCCAAACAUCACACACAAAACAUCCCA
Molecule: long non-coding RNA, 405 nt
Organism: Clupea harengus (Atlantic herring)
Lineage: Eukaryota; Metazoa; Chordata; Actinopteri; Clupeiformes; Clupeidae
Source: Ensembl